UCUGGAUCAGGACUCUGGAUCAGGACUCUGGAUCAGGACUCUGGAUCAGGACUCUGGAUGUUGUCCAGGCUCUGGAUUCUUCCUCAGCAGGUCCAGUUCGGAGCAGUUUUGUGGUGCUGGGCUGAAACGAUUCCUCGAAUGAUUCGGGUAUCCGAUUAUUCAAACUCCAAGAGGAAAAUUGAUUUGCCUGUUUAGACCGUGUUCCGGCCGGGUUCUCAUUUGUGUUGCGCAGCGUUCUCCCUCUUCCGCCUGACUUGCUGAUGAAAGCUCAGUGUUUGCAGCAUAACAUCCAUUUUUCAAGUAAUGUUCGGGUUUUUGUCAUUUUUCGGGAACCAAUAAACACCCUUAAAAUGAUGCUUGCAGUGAAGCUUUAUAGACAAACCGGAAAAUGAAUUGAUGUCAAAGUUCAACUCAGAUCAGCUGGACACAGGCUGCCCUGUAUGGAUGCUCACAUCAACCCGGUGUGGGAUCAUGACUCUGUGCUGAUCUAUGGGAACUGCAGGAAUAACUGGGAGUCGCUUUCAGAAGUGGCGUUGAGCGAGUGAAAAACAUGUUGGACGCCUCGGCGCUGAGUCAGCAAGUUUUCUGGGGGAAACCUGAUCCCAGUUUCAACUAAUGGUGACGGAGCGAAGCUGAUAAUGAGUUUGUGUGAUGAACUAAGAAUCAGAUCCCGUUGCUGAUAUGAACACAUAGCUGUAAAUAUCUGGGCAAGGUCAGAGUUCAACUAUUCAACUGACUGGCGAUGAAUAAAUAAACCAAAAGCUGCGCUAUGGACAUUUUUAUAAGCGUAUCUUUUUCCCGGGUGUGUCCAGAUGGAAGGACAGCGGUCCAUCCUCCAUGUUGGUCUCCCGUCUGGGUCGGACCGGCGCCGCGCCGC
Molecule: long non-coding RNA, 877 nt
Organism: Poeciliopsis prolifica (blackstripe livebearer)
Lineage: Eukaryota; Metazoa; Chordata; Actinopteri; Cyprinodontiformes; Poeciliidae
Exons: 3
Source: RefSeq, a predicted model, not a curated record